Molecule: ribosomal RNA, 301 nt
Filed under: uncultured bacterium
Lineage: Bacteria
Description: partial 16S ribosomal RNA
Rfam family: Bacterial small subunit ribosomal RNA
Source: RNAcentral
CAGCCGCCGCGGUAAUACGGAGGGUGCAAGCGUUAAUCGGAAUUACUGGGCGUAAAGCGUGCGCAGGCGGUUUGUUAAGACAGAUGUGAAAUCCCCGGGCUCAACCUGGGAACUGCAUUUGUGACUGGCAAGCUAGAGUGUGGCAGAGGGGGGUGGAAUUCCGCGUGUAGCAGUGAAAUGCGUAGAUAUGCGGAGGAACACCGAUGGCGAAGGCAGCCCCCUGGGCCAACACUGACGCUCAUGCACGAAAGCGUGGGGAGCAACCAGGAUUAGAUACCCCUGUAGUCCCUGUCUCUUAUAC